GCACUCCAUUGAAAUGCAGCGAGGGACGAACAGGUGGUACGUUAGUCCCGGCUUUUUUCUCAUACUUGAGCGAGAGGGAUUGAAGCAACAUGUGGAGGCACGCGGUCUCAUCGUCAACGGGUCGGCUUCGAGCCCUAGCAUCUUCGUCACACUCACUCUCAUGGCGAUCCUCUUCUCUCACACUCCGCCGAUCGCUGGCCUCCUCGCCGUCUUCGUCUUCAACAUCGUCGUCUUCCUCACCGCCGCCGUUUCAGACUCUCUUCUCUCCCCAAGCUUCCUCUCUUUACGGUGAUACUUUGAAGAAGGUUGAAGAUGUAAUGCCCAUUGCUACUGGACAUGAGCGAGAGGAGCUCGAGGCCGUGCUUGAGGGAAAAAACAUUCUUGAAAUCAAUUUUCCAGCUGGUCCUUUCGGUACCAAGGAAGCACCUGCUAUUGUCAAGUCUGUCUUUGACAAAAGAAUAAUUGGAUGCCCUGGUGGUGAGGGAGAAGAUGAGCAUGAUGUUGUUUGGUUUUGGCUAGAGAAAGGCAAGCCACAUGAAUGCCCCAUCUGUUCACAAUAUUUCAUGCUGGAAGUGGUUGGCCCUGGAGGUUCUCCUGAUGGCCAUGGAGACGAUGAUCACCAUUGAUCCAGCUUGGAAAAUUUUUGCUGGAAUAAAAUUUCGACUGAAUGAUGAGAAAACAGUUUGUUAUACGGACCAUUCCGCACUAGACUUCUUGCUGUUGGCCCGAAGCUCUCCAGGACCAUUCGUCGGCGGUUUUGGAGUAUCGGUGACUACAAUGAUGGCGGUGCUGGAUCCUUAAUACAAAGCUUCGAGUUCUACAAGGAACACUCGUUUUGGAAGGAUCACAAUGUGGAGGUAAUAAAUCAAAGAGGAAGGCGUUGUCGGCCUUUCUUUUGAAAGUACUUUUAUUGCCUCCGAUGCAAAACUUGCUUUGUUGAAGAAAAAAGAAACUAAAAUAAUUACUUUUGAAAUUUUAGUUCAAAAGUAGUUGAAGCACCUUUAUUUGCAUUCAUAUGCUUUCAUUUGUUGUGGAGUAACGGUUCCGCUGCCAACUCUG
Corylus avellana is the source of this 1059-nucleotide non-coding RNA. NCBI's taxonomy places the organism in Eukaryota, Viridiplantae, Streptophyta, Magnoliopsida, Fagales, Betulaceae. The record is from RefSeq and is a predicted model, not a curated record.